AGUGAACGCUGGCGGUAGGCCUAACACAUGCAAGUCGAACGGCAGCACAGUAAGAGCUUGCUCUUACGGGUGGCGAGUGGCGGACGGGUGAGGAAUAUAUCGGAAUCUACUUUUUCGUGGGGGAUAACGUAGGGAAACUUACGCUAAUACCGCAUACGACCUACGGGUGAAAGCAGGGGAUCUUCGGACCUUGCGCGAUUGAAUGAGCCGAUGUCGGAUUAGCUAGUUGGCGGGGUAAAGGCCCACCAAGGCGACGAUCCGUAGCUGGUCUGAGAGGAUGAUCAGCCACACUGGAACUGAGACACGGUCCAGACUCCUACGGGAGGCAGCAGUGGGGAAUAUUGGACAAUGGGCGCAAGCCUGAUCCAGCCAUACCGCGUGGGUGAAGAAGGCCUUCGGGUUGUAAAGCCCCUUUGUUGGGAAAGAAAAGCAGCAGGUUAAUACCCCGCUGUUCUGACGGUACCCAAAGAAUAAGCACCGGCUAACUUCGUG
This 492-nucleotide ribosomal RNA is filed under the name uncultured bacterium. Its description in RNAcentral is "partial 16S ribosomal RNA". It matches the Rfam family "Bacterial small subunit ribosomal RNA", at positions 29 to 507 of the family's 1533-position model. The record is from RNAcentral.